UGAACCUGCGAGAGGAUCUUAU
RNAcentral lists this ribosomal RNA (22 nucleotides) under Clitocybe subditopoda. Its description in RNAcentral is "partial 18S small subunit ribosomal RNA". Lineage: Eukaryota; Fungi; Basidiomycota; Agaricomycetes; Agaricales; Clitocybaceae. The record is from RNAcentral.